UACGGAGGGUGCGAGCGUUGUCCGGAAUCACUGGGCGUAAAGGGCGCGUAGGUGGCCUGAUAAGUAGGGGGUGAAAUCCUGCGGCUUAACCGCAGGGCUGCCUUCUAAACUGUCAGGCUGGAGCACAGUAGAGGCAGGUGGAAUUCCCGGUGUAGCGGUGGAAUGCGUAGAGAUCGGGAAGAACAUCAGUGGCGAAGGCGGCCUGCUGGGCUGUUGCUGACGCUGAGGCGCGACAGCGUGGGGAGCAAACAGG
Molecule: ribosomal RNA, 253 nt
Filed under: uncultured bacterium
Lineage: Bacteria
Description: partial 16S ribosomal RNA
Rfam family: Bacterial small subunit ribosomal RNA
Source: RNAcentral